Passer domesticus (house sparrow) is the source of this 719-nucleotide long non-coding RNA. RefSeq lists it as uncharacterized. The record is from RefSeq and is a predicted model, not a curated record. The transcript is spliced from 4 exons. Lineage: Eukaryota; Metazoa; Chordata; Aves; Passeriformes; Passeridae.
UAUGUACAGAGCAAGUUUUUGAAGAAGACUGUGUUUUAUUCAAGCAUGCUGCUAAGAUGAUGUGUCAAAGACAGGCAUUUCUGCCCACUGCUUUACCAUAUCCAGCAGCUGCAUAAAAAAGAUAAUAGCACCUCUUCCUACUUUCAGACGGUUUUCUUCUGCAGAGCUCUGAAAGACAUGAGUAAUCCACUGCAGUUCAGAGACUCAUGUAUGGCUGAUCCAGAUCCACCUUCUCAAAGGUGAUGGAAGUGAUAUUUGUUUCCAUCAUGUCCCCAUGAAUCUCUUCCCAUCACCAUGAACUUGCCAAGAUCUUUAUGACCUCAGAGUGACAUCCAUGAGCUCCCUCAUCAUUCAGGAUUCCCAGGCCAGCAGAGCUGAUGAAUGAAUUUACAUUUUCCUCCAACUAGUGCUCUCUUGAGCUCUUUGUUCAACCUGUUGACUGCUCAAUAUCACAGCCUACCCUUGCUGCAGUUUGGGUGGUGAAGGUUCCUUAGAUAUGGCAGAAUGUAGCCUUGGAAAAUCCAUUUACAUGGGGAAGAAGUGAGGAAGCAUGUCCAGUGGUGAUCCAUGGAUGAGUGGAGCUUCCUCUGCCUGCAUGGUCUUUAGGUGUGAUGUUAGCAGCCAGUGUACACAGUUGCCUAAAUUCACUCAGCAUCACUGGAGGUGUGGGGACUUCACAUGUAAGGGGCUUUAGAUGGAUUUACUGCUGUUGGUACAAC